This 514-nucleotide ribosomal RNA is filed under the name uncultured bacterium. RNAcentral's name for it is "bacterial SSU rRNA". It matches the Rfam family "Bacterial small subunit ribosomal RNA", at positions 28 to 534 of the family's 1533-position model. The record is from RNAcentral.
GAUGAACGCUAGCGGGAGGCUUAACACAUGCAAGUCGAGGGGCAGCAUAGGGUAGCAAUACUCUGAUGGCGACCGGCAAACGGGUGAGUAACGCGUAUGCAACCCUACCCUGUACAGGGGGAUAACCCGGAGAAAUUCGGACUAAUAUCCCGUAAUAAUAUCCGGAGGCAUCUUUGGAUAUUUAAAGUUCCGACGGUACGGGAUGGGCAUGCGUAACAUUAACUGGUUGGUAAGGUAACGGCUUACCAAGGCUAUGAUGUUUAGGGGUCCUGAGAGGGUGGUCCCCCACACUGGUACUGAGACACGGACCAGACUCCUACGGGAGGCAGCAGUGAGGAAUAUUGGUCAAUGGGCGCAAGCCUGAACCAGCCAUCCCGCGUGCAGGAAGACGGCCCUAUGGGUUGUAAACUGCUUUUCCAGGGAGAGAAACUUACGCACGUGUUGCGUGACUGACGGUACCCUGGGAAUAAGCAUCGGCUAACUCCGUGCCAGCAGCCGCGGUAAACUGUCUACG